AUUCCAGCUUCAGUAGCGUAUAUUAAAGUUGUUGCAGUUAAAAAGCUCGUAGUCGCAUUUCUGGCGAGAGGAUCCGGUCCGACCUUUUGGUGGGUUCUUGGGUCUCUUUCGCCAUCCUUGAGUGGUCCGUUCUGGCAUUAGGUUGUCGGAGCGUCAGCCGCUCAUCGUUUACUGUGAGAAAAUUAGAGUGUUCAAAGCAGGCUUAUGCCGUUGAAUAUAUUAGCAUGGAAUAAUAAGAUAGGACCUCGGUACUAUUUUGUUGGUUUGCGCACCAAGGUAAUGAUGAACAGGGACAGUUGGGGGUAUUUGUAUUUCGUUGUCAGAGGUGAAAUUCUUAGAUUUACGAAAGACAAACUACUGCGAAAGCAUUUACCAAGGAUGUUUUCAUCA
This 390-nucleotide ribosomal RNA is filed under the name Chaetoceros sp. RNAcentral's name for it is "partial small subunit ribosomal RNA". It matches the Rfam family "Eukaryotic small subunit ribosomal RNA", at positions 582 to 975 of the family's 1831-position model. The record is from RNAcentral. Lineage: Eukaryota; Bacillariophyta; Thalassiosirophyceae; Chaetocerotales; Chaetocerotaceae.